UACGCAGGGUGCAAGCGUUGUCCGGAAUUACUGGGCGUAAAGGGCUCGUAGGCGGCCAACUAAGUCAGACGUGAAAUCCCCAGGCUUAACCUGGGAACUGCGUCUGAUACUGGAUGGCUUGAAUUCGGGAGAGGGAUGCAGAAUUCCAGGUGUAGCGGUGAAAUGCGUAGAUAUCUGGAGGAACACCUGCGGCGAAGGCGGGUUGCUGGGCUGAUACUGACGCUGAGGCGCGAAAGCCAGGGGAGCGAACGGG
RNAcentral lists this ribosomal RNA (253 nucleotides) under uncultured bacterium. RNAcentral's name for it is "partial 16S ribosomal RNA". It matches the Rfam family "Bacterial small subunit ribosomal RNA", at positions 524 to 776 of the family's 1533-position model. The record is from RNAcentral.